Hippoglossus stenolepis (Pacific halibut) is the source of this 104-nucleotide small nuclear RNA. The record is from RefSeq and is a predicted model, not a curated record. NCBI's taxonomy places the organism in Eukaryota, Metazoa, Chordata, Actinopteri, Pleuronectiformes, Pleuronectidae.
GUACACUUCAGCAGAUCACAUAUAAUAAAUUGGAUACGAUACAGAGAAGAUUAGCAUGGCCCCUGCGAAAGGAUGACCCUUAGGUCGUGACGUUCCAUAUUUUA